This 445-nucleotide ribosomal RNA is filed under the name uncultured bacterium. RNAcentral describes it as "bacterial SSU rRNA". It matches the Rfam family "Bacterial small subunit ribosomal RNA", at positions 331 to 793 of the family's 1533-position model. The record is from RNAcentral.
CCAGACUCCUACGGGAGGCAGCAGUGGGGAAUAUUGCACAAUGGGGGAAACCCUGAUGCAGCGACGCCGCGUGAGCGAUGAAGUAUUUCGGUAUGUAAAGCUCUAUCAGCAGGGAAGAAAAUGACGGUACCUGACUAAGAAGCCCCGGCUAACUACGUGCCAGCAGCCGCGGUAAUACGUAGGGGGCAAGCGUUAUCCGGAUUUACUGGGUGUAAAGGGAGCGUAGACGGUCCUGCAAGCCAGAUGUGAAAGGCCGGGGCUCAAACGCGGUAGUGCAUUUGAAACUGGCCGGCUAGAGUGCAGGAGAGGUAAGCGGAAUUCCUAGUGUAGCGGUGAAAUGCGUAGAUAUUAGGAGGAACACCAGUGGCGAAGGCGGCAUACUGGACUGUAACUGACGCUGAGGCACGAAAGCGUGGGGAGCAAACAGGAUUAGAUACCCCAGUAU